Rhea pennata is the source of this 595-nucleotide long non-coding RNA. RefSeq lists it as uncharacterized. The transcript is spliced from 2 exons. The record is from RefSeq and is a predicted model, not a curated record. Lineage: Eukaryota; Metazoa; Chordata; Aves; Rheiformes; Rheidae.
GUGCAGCCUGUCCCAUGCGCUCACGCACGUCAGGAGCUGCGUAUCUCUGCUGAGAUACACGGGCUUCCUCCACCAGCCCGGCGUGGGCACAGCCCGAGCCGAAAGCCAGGCUUGUGCAAAGGCAAAGCAUUGCUCUGAUCCCGGGGGCGUUUGCUAAGUAACAGCUGGAGCCCCGGGGCUCCGAAGGAGGCAGCUCAACGACCGGGACACUGGUGCAGGUGCCGGGGACGGGCGAGGCAGGCGGGUGCUGCCAGACCGCUUUGCUGUCGCGGCACGCAGGGCACUGGGAGCUGCAGCCUUGCUGGCGCAGGGAGGGCGCGGAGGAACGGACGGACCCAAGGAUGCCAGUGCUGGGAUUCAUUAGGUCGGAGCUGCAAGGGCUCUGCGGAUGAAAGCGCGGCUCAUGAAUUAUCAUGGGGGUGCAGACAGCAGCCUGCGGACUCCUUGGGAAGCUCAACAACAGGAAUGGAGAGAAAAAUGUUUGGGUUUUUCAUCUUUCCAUUUUCCAUUUCACCUUUGGAAAAGGAAACAAAAAAGCACAGCUGAAAGAAGAGAAAGAAGAAAAUACAUUUUUUUCAGUCUCUUUAUAUCCCUA